RNA transcript from Psammomys obesus (fat sand rat), 2208 nucleotides. It is a transcript of the gene named phosphatidylinositol glycan anchor biosynthesis class U, with no coding region annotated. The record is from RefSeq and is a predicted model, not a curated record. The transcript is spliced from 2 exons. Lineage: Eukaryota; Metazoa; Chordata; Mammalia; Rodentia; Muridae.
GGUCAGGUUUAUUUCAUGUAGCAGAAUAUUUUCAAGGCUUUUGAAUGUUGUGGCAACUGUCAGCACUUCGUUAUUAUUAUUUUUGUUGUUGCUGCUCAGCUGUGCUCCAUUGUAUAGAUCUAGGACCUUUUGUUUAUCAAUUUACCAGUAUUUCUGCUUUGGUUUUACGAGUAAUUUCCCACACAAGUGUGGACAUUCUUUGUUACUUCUCACAGAUGCACAGCAGGAGCUACACACCCCUGAACUACACGGAUGCCCAUCUCACACUUAACAUUUUGUGGAACUGCCGAACUGUUUUUUAAAGUGGCUGCAUUUUAGGUUUCCACGUGAGGCGCAUACAGGCAUUUGUCUCGCCAGAAGGUAUUAUUUUGUUUGUUUGUUUUUCCUUCAGCCACCCCAGCAAGUAUACCCAGUAACCAGUGAGGCUGAGCGUCUUCUCAGGGGUUCAUCGGUCAUCUGUGUGUCUUCUCUGCUGCGGUGUCUGCCGAAACCCUUGGUUCAUUUAAGAAUUUGUCAGAAUCAGGCAUGAGCUUCCACUCUGUGGACCAUGCGGGCCCCUCCUGGGUCCUGGUCCUGCUGCUGGCACUGGGGCUGUGCACCCUCCAGGCCAGGGCUUACAGAUUUCUGGACCCUGGCUUUCGGGAAAACUAUUUUGAGCAAUACAUGGACCAUUUCAACUUCGAGAGUUUCGGCAACAAAACCUUCAACCAGCGGUUUCUGGUGUCAGAUAGGUUCUGGAAGAUAGGCCAGGGUCCCAUUUUCUUCUACACAGGGAAUGAGGGGGAUAUCUGGUCCUUUGCUAACACCUCGGGCUUCGUGGUGGAACUGGCAGCCCAGCAGAAAGCCCUGCUUGUCUUUGCCGAGCACCGGUACUAUGGGAAAUCGCUUCCAUUCGGUGUGCAGUCCACACGGCGGGGAUUUACACAGCUGCUGACUGUGGAGCAGGCACUGGCGGACUUUGCUGUGCUGCUCCAGGCCCUGCGGCAGGAUCUCGGGGUCCCGGAUGCCCCCAUCAUAACCUUUGGAGGAAGUUAUGGGGGGAUGCUGAGCGCCUACAUGAGGAUGAAGUAUCCCCACCUGGUGGCUGGGGCCCUGGCAGCCAGCGCUCCUGUCCUAGCUGUUGCGGGUCUUGGCAACUCCUACCAGUUCUUCCAAGACGUCACAGCCGACUUCUACCGCCAGAGUCCCAAGUGCGCCCAGGCUGUGCGGGACGCCUUCCGCCAAAUCAAAGACCUGUUCCUCCAAGGAGCCUACGACACCAUCAGCCAGAAUUUUGGUACCUGCCAGCCACCUUCCAGCCCAAAGGACCUGACUCAGCUCUAUAAGUUUGCCCGGAAUGCAUUUACUGUGCUCGCCAUGAUGGACUACCCAUACCCUACCGACUCCGCAGGUCACCUUCCUGCCAACCCUGUAAGGGCGGGCUGCGAACUGCUGCUGAGUGCGGGCCAGAGGAUCAAGGGUCUGCGAGCUCUGGCGGGGCUCGUCUACAACUCCUCUGGCACGGAGCUCUGUUACGACAUCUACCGCCUGUUCAAAAGCUGCGCUGACCCCACUGGCUGCGGCAUUGGCUCUAAGGCCAAGGCCUGGGACUACCAGGCCUGUACGGAGAUCAAUCUGACCUUUGACAGCAACAAUGUGACUGACAUGUUCCCUGAACUCCCGUUCUCUGAUGAACUCCGCCAGCAAUACUGCCUGGCUACAUGGGGUGUGUGGCCCCGGUCAGGCUGGCUGCAGACCAGCUUCUGGGGUGGCGACCUUAAAACUGCCAGCAACAUCAUUUUCUCCAACGGUGACCUGGACCCCUGGGCAAGAGGUGGGAUCCGGAGCAAGGUGAGUGCAUCAGUCAUUGCUGUCCGGAUCCAUGGCGGAGCACAUCACCUAGACCUCAGAGCAUCUAACCCAGGAGAUCCCCCAUCUGUUGUGGAGGUGCGGAAUCUGGAGGCUACCCUCAUUCGAGAAUGGGUAGAGGCAGCCAGACCAAAGGGUCUCCCAUUCAGCUAAGACCCAGCAGGGCCCAGAGGUCCCUCGUUCUGUGUGAGCAGUUGUGGCCCGACAGCUUGCCUUAUGUCUGAAGGACUGCCCAGAUCCACAGCGGUCAGCCCAGGGUGGACUUUCAUACAAGGGGCUGCUGGCCAGUGAGAUGGCCCCGUGGGUAAUGGCGUCCCCUGCCAUUCUCUUGCUCGCAUGGUGGAAGAGAAGUGACUCCCA